Molecule: long non-coding RNA, 773 nt
Organism: Triticum aestivum (bread wheat)
Lineage: Eukaryota; Viridiplantae; Streptophyta; Magnoliopsida; Poales; Poaceae
Exons: 3
Source: RefSeq, a predicted model, not a curated record
CCCAGGCGGCGGCGGGCAAGAAGCAGCAGAAGACCACCAAGGCGCCGAGGGAGAAGAAGGCGAAGGCAGAGGACGAGAGUGCGUGGAGGAGCCCGACGUGGAGGAGGGCGAGAUGGCCACCUUCGGGGAGCAGCAGAACGAGCAGGGGCACGCAGCGGUGGCGGCCAAGAGGCGAAUGGCGCAGCCGACCAAGAAGGCCAGGAAGCCAGAGUUCCUCGGCGAGCCCGUCCCCGCCGACGAAGCCUGCGCCAACUGGCCGCAGCGUUACCAGUGUGCCUCGCCCAUGAGGUACGCAUUGGACCCGUCGCCCAUCCGACUCGCCCUGACCCUUCUCCUUCCCGCGCCGGUCGGGCUGAUGUGGACGCGGUUGCGAGCUUGACGUGAGACCAGACGCAAGGAGGCAGCGUGGAGACAGGCCACCGCCGGUCGCCCACCACCGGAGCUUUUGCCCUCUGCGCCGUCUCCUCCAUAACCUCAUCCGCGUGCACGGCUGCUUUCUGGAGGGCCGCCACUGGGAUCCACGGGGUGCGCCUCCACCCCCCUGCAGCUCCAUCAUGUGUGAUGGGCGCCGAUCUGCAGGCUUGAGCUUGAGCUCCUUGGCGUCCUUCCUCGAGUUGGUGGCCCAGCUCGCCGGCGUUCUGAGUACGGCCUCGGCUACAAACUCUGACGGUGAGUUUCAAACCCAAUUCCGCUGCCGCACUGAUCGAUCUGGCCUUGUUGGGGAUGCUCCCUGGAUAACUGUACCAUACCCAUUCCAGUGGGAAGCACCGACU